This 406-nucleotide ribosomal RNA is filed under the name uncultured bacterium. Its description in RNAcentral is "partial 16S ribosomal RNA". It matches the Rfam family "Bacterial small subunit ribosomal RNA", at positions 30 to 526 of the family's 1533-position model. The record is from RNAcentral.
AUUGAACGCUGGCGGCAGGCCUAACACAUGCAAGUCGAACGAGUGGCGGAAGGGUGAGUACUGUCUGGGAAACUGCCUGAUGGAGGGGGAUAACUACUGGAAACGGUAGCUAAUACCGCAUACCAUCGGAUGUGCCCAGAUGGGAUUAGCUAGUAGGUGGGGUAACGGCGCACCUAGGCGCCGAUCCCUAGCUGGUCUGACAGGAUGACCAGCCACCUUGGAACUGAGACACGGUCCAGACUCCUACGGGAGGCAGCAGUGGGGAAUAGUGCAAAAUGGGCGCAAUCCUGAUGCAGCCAUGCCGCGUGUAUGAAGAAGGCCUUCGGGUUGUAAAGUACUUUCAGCGGGGAAGCGUUACCCGCAGAAGAAGCACCGGCUAACUCCGUGCCAGCAGCCGCGGUAAUUC